Molecule: long non-coding RNA, 406 nt
Filed under: Rattus norvegicus (Norway rat)
Lineage: Eukaryota; Metazoa; Chordata; Mammalia; Rodentia; Muridae
Description: long non-coding RNA NONRATT023485
Source: RNAcentral
GUGCCUGAUACGGAGAACAUCUGAUAUCCUCUCUAAGUAUCUGCCAGUGAAGAUUGAGCAGGUGGUUUGUUGUAGGUACUGAACUUGCUGGAAAGGCGGACAGCUGACACCCCUUCAAACUGAGCUAUACAAGAGAUUUCUAAGACAGGCUAAGCCUGAAGAAGAAUUGCAUGAGGGCAAGAUGAGUGUAUCUUCCCUGUCUUCUAUCACCUCUCUAAAGAAGCUGUGUAAUCAUCCAGCUCUAAUCUAUGACAAGUGUGUGGCAGAGGAGGAUGGCUUUGAGGGCACUUUGGGUAUCUUCCCCCCUGGUUAUAACUCUAAAGCUGUAGAACCACAGUUGUCGGGUAAGAUGCUGGUCCUUGACUACAUUCUGGCCAUGACUCGAAGCCGUAGCAGUGACAAAGUC